GACGAACGCUGGCGGCGUGCUUAACACAUGCAAGUCGAACGGAACGGCCCUGCUUUUUUGGGGUGCUCGAGUGGCGAACGGGUGAGUAACACGUGAGUAACCUGCCCUUGACUUUGGGAUAACUUCAGGAAACUGGGGCUAAUACCGGAUAGGAGCUCCUGCUGCAUGGUGGGGGUUGGAAAGUUUCGGCGGUUGGUGAUGGACUCGCGGCGUAUCAGCUUGUUUGUGGGGGAGUGGCUUACCAAGGCUUUGACGGGUAGCCGGCCUGAGAGGGUGACCGGCCACAUUGGGACUGAGAUACGGCCCAGACUCCUACGGGAGGCAGCCGUGGGGAAUAUUGCACAAGGGGCGGAAGCCUGAUGCAGCAACGCCGCGUGCGGGAUGACGGCCUGCGGGUUGUAAACCGCUUUCGCCUGUGACGAAGCGUGAGUGACGGUAACGGGUAAAGAAGCACCGGCUAACUACGUG
This 468-nucleotide ribosomal RNA is filed under the name uncultured bacterium. RNAcentral describes it as "partial 16S ribosomal RNA". It matches the Rfam family "Bacterial small subunit ribosomal RNA", at positions 28 to 507 of the family's 1533-position model. The record is from RNAcentral.